RNAcentral lists this transfer RNA (64 nucleotides) under Haemaphysalis flava. Its description in RNAcentral is "tRNA-Met". The record is from RNAcentral. Lineage: Eukaryota; Metazoa; Arthropoda; Arachnida; Ixodida; Ixodidae.
AUAAAGUAAGCUAAGUAUUAAAGCUAGUGGGUUCAUACCCCAAAAAUGAAUAUUUCCUUUAUUA